This 1372-nucleotide ribosomal RNA is filed under the name uncultured bacterium. RNAcentral describes it as "bacterial SSU rRNA". It matches the Rfam family "Bacterial small subunit ribosomal RNA", at positions 28 to 1381 of the family's 1533-position model. The record is from RNAcentral.
GAUGAACGCUGGCGGCGUGCCUAAUACAUGCAAGUCGAGCGAACGGACGAGAAGCUUGCUUCUCUGAUGUUAGCGGCGGACGGGUGAGUAACACGUGGAUAACCUACCUAUAAGACUGGGAUAACUUCGGGAAACCGGAGCUAAUACCGGAUAAUAUUUUGAACCGCAUGGUUCAAAAGUGAAAGACGGUCUUGCUGUCACUUAUAGAUGGAUCCGCGCUGCAUUAGCUAGUUGGUAAGGUAACGGCUUACCAAGGCAACGAUGCAUAGCCGACCUGAGAGGGUGAUCGGCCACACUGGAACUGAGACACGGUCCAGACUCCUACGGGAGGCAGCAGUAGGGAAUCUUCCGCAAUGGGCGAAAGCCUGACGGAGCAACGCCGCGUGAGUGAUGAAGGUCUUCGGAUCGUAAAACUCUGUUAUUAGGGAAGAACAUAUGUGUAAGUAACUGUGCACAUCUUGACGGUACCUAAUCAGAAAGCCACGGCUAACUACGUGCCAGCAGCCGCGGUAAUACGUAGGUGGCAAGCGUUAUCCGGAAUUAUUGGGCGUAAAGCGCGCGUAGGCGGUUUUUUAAGUCUGAUGUGAAAGCCCACGGCUCAACCGUGGAGGGUCAUUGGAAACUGGAAAACUUGAGUGCAGAAGAGGAAAGUGGAAUUCCAUGUGUAGCGGUGAGAUGCGCAGAGAUAUGGAGGAACACCAGUGGCGAAGGCGACUUUCUGGUCUGUAACUGACGCUGAUGUGCGAAAGCGUGGGGAUCAAACAGGAUUAGAUACCCUGGUAGUCCACGCCGUAAACGAUGAGUGCUAAGUGUUAGGGGGUUUCCGCCCCUUAGUGCUGCAGCUAACGCAUUAAGCACUCCGCCUGGGGAGUACGACCGCAAGGUUGAAACUCAAAGGAAUUGACGGGGACCCGCACAAGCGGUGGAGCAUGUGGUUUAAUUCGAAGCAACGCGAAGAACCUUACCAAAUCUUGACAUCCUUUGACAACUCUAGAGAUAGAGCUUUCCCCUUCGGGGGACAAAGUGACAGGUGGUGCAUGGUUGUCGUCAGCUCGUGUCGUGAGAUGUUGGGUUAAGUCCCGCAACGAGCGCAACCCUUAAGCUUAGUUGCCAUCAUUAAGUUGGGCACUCUAAGUUGACUGCCGGUGACAAACCGGAGGAAGGUGGGGAUGACGUCAAAUCAUCAUGCCCCUUAUGAUUUGGGCUACACACGUGCUACAAUGGACAAUACAAAGGGCAGCGAAACCGCGAGGUCAAGCAAAUCCCAUAAAGUUGUUCUCAGUUCGGAUUGUAGUCUGCAACUCGACUACAUGAAGCUGGAAUCGCUAGUAAUCGUAGAUCAGCAUGCUACGGUGAAUACGUUCCCGGGUCU